GUCUCUUUGAACCAAGGGAAUAAAGAGUCUGGCCUGCCCGGUGAUUGAUUUAACGGCUGCAGUAUCCUGACUGUGCAAAGGUAGCAUAGUAACUUGCCUUUUAAUUGGAGGAUGGUAUCAACGGCCCGACGAGAGCAAAGCUGUCUUUUUCAUUUUUACUUGAAAUUAUCUUUUAAGUUAAAAGGCUUAAAUAAAAUUAAAAGACGAUAAGACCCUAUUGAGCUUUAAAGAAAUAAAAGCACUGUUAAGAUUAAUAGUUAAUUUAAAAAUUUUGGUUGGGGCGACCGCGGAGCAUAUAAAACCUCCGUUUUAAAAAAAUAGUUGUUAUUUUUGAUCCAAAAGUUUUUUGAUAAGAAGAAUUAGUUACCAUAGGGAUAACAGCGUACUGCCCUUAGGGAGAUCUAAUUUUUAAGGGAGAUCGCGACCUCGAUGUUGGAUUAAGGUAUACUGAAAGGCGCAGAAGCUUUUUAAGUUAGUCUGUUCGACUAUUAAAUCCUU
This 498-nucleotide ribosomal RNA is filed under the name Cyclophorus sp. (in: gastropods). RNAcentral describes it as "Cyclophorus sp. partial 16S ribosomal RNA". It matches the Rfam family "Bacterial large subunit ribosomal RNA", at positions 1819 to 2597 of the family's 2925-position model. The record is from RNAcentral. Lineage: Eukaryota; Metazoa; Mollusca; Gastropoda; Architaenioglossa; Cyclophoridae.